UUGGACUACCAGGGUAUCUAAUCCUGUUCGCUCCCCACGCUUUCGUCCAUCAGCGUCAAUCCAUAAGUAGUAACCUGCCUUCGCAAUUGGUAUUCCAUGUAAUAUCUAAGCAUUUCACCGCUACACUACAUAUUCUAGUUACUUCCUUAUAAUUCAAGUCUAACAGUAUCAAUGGCCGUUUGAUCGUUGAGCGACCAGAUUUCACCACUGACUUAUUAAACCGCCUACGGACCCUUUAAACCCAAUGAUUCCGGAUAACGCUUGGAUCCUCCGUAUUACCGCGGCUGCUGGCAC
Molecule: unclassified non-coding RNA, 294 nt
Filed under: uncultured fungus
Lineage: Eukaryota; Fungi
Description: sequence contains ITS1
Source: RNAcentral